GGUCCAAUUGCGGAGAGGCCCGCGCCUGCGUCAGCUGGAAAGUAGAUGAAUGGGACUGCACGUGCAGGAGACGCCCGUUCGAGUCGGGCUUGGACCU
This is a non-coding RNA of Mycena latifolia, 97 nucleotides long. The record is from the annotation of a GenBank genome assembly. Lineage: Eukaryota; Fungi; Basidiomycota; Agaricomycetes; Agaricales; Mycenaceae.